RNAcentral lists this ribosomal RNA (476 nucleotides) under uncultured bacterium. RNAcentral describes it as "partial 16S ribosomal RNA". It matches the Rfam family "Bacterial small subunit ribosomal RNA", at positions 28 to 507 of the family's 1533-position model. The record is from RNAcentral.
GAUUAACGCUGGCGGCGUGCAUAACACAUGCAAGUCGAACGUUAAAAUUAAAAGGUUUUCUUCGAAUUGAACUAAAGGGGAUAGGGGGCGGCCGGUUGGGUAACCCGUAGGAAACUGGCUUACAACAAGGGGAAACCGUUGGGAAACGCGGAUAAAUACCCAAGAUUUUUUUUUUUCCCCUUAGGUAUUUACCCAAGUGUUUGCGGUGUAAGAUGGGCCUGCGUUUGAUUAGGUAGUUGGUGAGAAAAAAGCCCACCAAGGCAACGAUCAGUAGCCGGCUUGAGAGAGUGUACGGCCACAUUGGGACUGAGACACGGCCCAGACUCCGACGGGAGGCAGCAGUGGGGAAUUUUGCACAAUGGGGGAAACCCUGAUGCAGCGACGCCGCGUGAUUUAGAAGGCCUUCGGGUUGUAAAAAUCUUUUGUAUAGGAAGAAAAUGACAGUACUAUACGAAUAAGGUCCGGCUAAUUACGUG